GAUGAAGAACGUAGCGAAAUGCGAUAAGUAAUGUGAAUUGCAGAAUUCAGUGAAUCAUCGAAUCUUUGAACGCACCUUGCGCCCUUUGGCCAUUCCGAAGGGCAUGCCUGUUUGAGUAUCAUGAACACCUCAACUCUCAUGGCUUGCCAUGAUGAGCUUGGACUUUGGGGGUCUUGCUGGCCUGUGGUCGGCUCCUCUCAAAUGAAUCAGCUUGCCAGUGUUUGGUGGCAUCACAAGUGUGAUAACUAUCUGCGCUCGUGGUUUCCAUCAGAUAACCUCCAGUGAUGGAGGUUCGCUGGAGCUCAUAAAUGUCUCUCCUAAGCGAGGACAGCUCUUUUAAUGUUUGAUCUCAAAUCAGGUAGGACUACCCGCUGAACUUAAGCAUAUCAUAAGCGGAGGA
RNAcentral lists this unclassified non-coding RNA (400 nucleotides) under soil metagenome. Its description in RNAcentral is "partial contains 5.8S ribosomal RNA, internal transcribed spacer 2, and large subunit ribosomal RNA". The stretch from base 1 to 121 matches the Rfam family "5.8S ribosomal RNA", at positions 35 to 154 of the family's 154-position model. The record is from RNAcentral.